This 561-nucleotide ribosomal RNA is filed under the name Anomalomyces panici. RNAcentral describes it as "LSU rRNA". It matches the Rfam family "Eukaryotic large subunit ribosomal RNA", at positions 107 to 649 of the family's 3401-position model. Lineage: Eukaryota; Fungi; Basidiomycota; Ustilaginomycetes; Ustilaginales. The record is from RNAcentral.
GCCCAAGAUUGAAAGCUGGCGUCUUCGGCGUCCGCAUUGUAAUCUCAAGAAGUGUUUUCCGCUUCGGACCAUGCCUAAGUCCCUUGGAAAAGGGCAUCAUAGAGGGUGAUAAUCCCGUACAUGGCAUGGAGCGCCCGUAGCUUUGUGAUACGCUUUCUAAGAGUCGAGUUGUUUGGGAAUGCAGCUCAAAAUGGGUGGUAAAUGCCAUCUAAGGCUAAAUAUUGGGGAGAGACCGAUAGCGAACAAGUACAGUGAUGGAAAGAUGAAAAGAACUUUGAAAAGAGAGUUAAACAGUACGUGAAAUUGCCAAAAGGGAAGGGUAGGAGGUCAGAGAUGCGGCUUGGGAUUCAGCCUUGCUUUUGCAUGGUGUUUUUCCCCUGUUGCAGGCCAACGUCGGUUUUGGGCACUGGAGAAGGGUGAGAGGAACGUGGCAUCCCUCGGGAUGUGUUAUAGCCUCUCACUGGAUACAGCGACCGAGACCGAGGACAGCAGCGUACUCGCAAGAGCGGGCCUUCGGGCACCUUUACGCUUAGGGCGUUGGCAUAAUGGCCCUCUACCACC